RNAcentral lists this ribosomal RNA (497 nucleotides) under uncultured bacterium. Its description in RNAcentral is "partial 16S ribosomal RNA". It matches the Rfam family "Bacterial small subunit ribosomal RNA", at positions 28 to 507 of the family's 1533-position model. The record is from RNAcentral.
GAUGAACGCUGGCGGCGUGCCUAAUACAUGCAAGUCGAGCGGACAGACGCUGCUCUUGCUCCUCUGACGUUAGCGGCGGACGUGUGAGUCACACGUGUAUAACCUACCUAUAAGACUGGUAUAACUUCGGGAAACCGGAUCUAAUACGGGAUAAUAUAUUGAACCGCAUGGUUCAAUGGUGAAAUACGGUUUUGCUGUCACUUAUCGAUGCAUCUGGGCCGCAUUAGCUAGUUGGUAAGGUCACGGCUUACCAAGGCAACGAUGCGUAGCCGACCUGAGAGAGGGAUAGGCCACACGGGAACUUGGACACGGUCCAGACUCCUACGGGAGGCAGCAGUAGGGAAUGUUACGCAAUGGGCGAAAGCAUGACGGAGCAACGGCGCGUGAGUGAUGACGGUGUUCGGAGCGUAAAACUCUCUUAUUAGGGAAGAACAGCUGUGUAAGUAACUAUGCACGUCUUGACGGUAACGAAUAAGAAAGCAACGGCUAACUACGUG